Molecule: ribosomal RNA, 253 nt
Filed under: uncultured bacterium
Lineage: Bacteria
Description: partial 16S ribosomal RNA
Rfam family: Bacterial small subunit ribosomal RNA
Source: RNAcentral
UACAGAGGUUGCAAGCGUUAUCCGGAAUGAUUGGGCGUAAAGCGUCUGUAGGUGGUUUUUUAAGUCCGCCGUCAAAUCCCAGGGCUCAACUCUGGACAGGCGGUGGAAACUACCAAGCUGGAGUACGGUAGGGGCAGAGGGAAUUUCCGGUGGAGCGGUGAAAUGCGUAGAGAUCGGAAAGAACACCAGCGGCGAAAGCAAUCUGCUGGGCCGACACUGACACUGAGAGACGAAAGCUAGGGGAGCGAAUGGG